RNAcentral lists this ribosomal RNA (443 nucleotides) under uncultured bacterium. RNAcentral describes it as "partial 16S ribosomal RNA". It matches the Rfam family "Bacterial small subunit ribosomal RNA", at positions 338 to 795 of the family's 1533-position model. The record is from RNAcentral.
CCUACGGGAGGCUGCAGUGGGGGAUAUUGGACAAUGGGGGGAACCCUGAUCCAGCGACGCCGCGUGAGUGAAGAAGUAUUUCGGUAUGUAAAGCUCUGUCAGCAGGGAAGAAAGAAAUGACGGUACCUGACCAAGAAGCCCCGGCUAACUACGUGCCAGCAGCCGCGGAAAUACGUAGGGGGCAAGCGUUAUCCGGAAUUACUGGGUGUAAAGGUAGCGUAGACGGUUAAGUAAGUCUGGAGUGAAAGGCCGGGGCCCAACCCCGGGACUGCUCUGGAAACUAUUGAACUUGAGUGCAGGAGAGGUAAGCGGAAUGCCUAGUGUAGCGGUGAAAUGCGUAGAUAUUAGGAGGAACACCAGUGGCGAAGGCGGCUUACUGGACUGUAACUGACGUUGAGGCUCGAAAGCGUGGGGAGCAAACAGGAUUAGAUACCCUUGUAGUC